This is a long non-coding RNA of Glossina fuscipes, 835 nucleotides long. RefSeq lists it as uncharacterized. The transcript is spliced from 3 exons. The record is from RefSeq and is a predicted model, not a curated record. Lineage: Eukaryota; Metazoa; Arthropoda; Insecta; Diptera; Glossinidae.
CUUCAAAAUAUUGUGAUAUUAAUUUAAAACAAAACAAAAAAAAUAAAUAAAUAAAUAACACGAAAUCAUAUCUUCUAAACGAAGAAGAGUAUUUUAAACUUUCCAACGCUAGUUAAAGAAAUUAUUCUCCACGAAUAUAUCUACUGCUGAAUAUCAAUCAAUUCACCAACCUAAGAGUUUCAUAUUAAAAUUGGACACAAUAGCACUUAAGAAAAUCCUGGAAUUUAUUUUUACCUAAAAGAAAAACGGAGAGGAGAGAAGAAACAAAACAACAAGAAAACAAAGCAAAGAAAAUAAAAAUAGAAAGGAAAAGCCAACGGAUUUUUUGUAAAGAAUUUUUUGCUCCUAAUCUAUAUUUUUAUCCAACUUACAAAAAACGCAUUCUAUUUUGGAUUCUGUACCAAUCAGCGAUUCAAGAGUAGAGGAAGGAAGAGAGAAAGGCACACCAUAAACUUUUGCCUUGCAUGAGAUCACCAAGAGAGAUAGCUAAUUUUAUACCUCAACACUUAAACGCUAAGCUAAGGAUUAAAUAAAUUUGUAAAUUGUACUUAAGUGUUCAAAGCCCUAAGUUUUACGGAGUUACAUAACAAACGCAACACAUACACACACACACGCGCACGCACCCACACACAGACAGACACACACACUUACAUACAUUUCUAUAUACACACUUAAAUACGCAAAAACACAUACUUACAUAAAAUAUACGCAUACACCCUCAGACAGGCGCAACAUACAACCCCACAUUAUUUAUAUAUUAAAGAUAAGUUCUAUUUAAAAAUAAACUUUAGCUUCAAGCAUCUUUAUAAAGGUUUUUCUAUUCAAAAUCAAUCGC